AAAACGUAAUUUAGAAAAAUAAUGCCACAUCAGCAGCCACGACAGUAGCCCGGUCAGCAGCCCCGGCUAACUAGGACCUUCGCGUGGCAGGGACGCUGACGCGGGAAGCCACGCGGGACAAAAACACGUUGGUGAUCCGCGUGCGCACGAUCAGACGGCCCAGAUCCGUUCCCGCGCGCACGGACGACCCAGAUCUCACGUGUGCGGACGGUCCAGAUUUAAUCACGCACGAACGGUCCAGAUCGCAUCGCAAUAGAUGAUUCAGAUUUAUUUUCAAUUUAAUUGCGAUCGGACGGUCCAGAUUAAAUCAUGAUGGACAGCUUAGAUUAAAAGGGGAGGGUUAUAAAUAAUCGCAUCCACACCCAACCCCAAACCCUAGCUGCCAGAACCCUCGCUGGAGAAGACGACCCAACCACCGGAGGAACCGGCCGUCGCCACCCGCCGCCGCACCGGAGGACUUUUCAUCCGCCAAACGAGGUAAAAUUUCUCUCCUUGGCUCGUUUUUCGAUGUCGAACCUCCCUGUCGCCAAAUCGAAACCAAACCACCAGCCGAUUGGCCGAAAAAUACUGCCGAAGUCCAACGGCACCGCCGCGGGUUUCCUCAAUUUUUACCUCCGAUGAGGCCCUUCCCGUUUUCCGUUCGAUGUAAUUUUUAUACUACUGUGACCACCGUCCUUUUCUCUACAGGUUGAUCGGAGCAAAACAC
This 706-nucleotide long non-coding RNA is filed under the name Carica papaya (papaya). RNAcentral's name for it is "long non-coding RNA (CPAP_LNC007242)". The record is from RNAcentral. Lineage: Eukaryota; Viridiplantae; Streptophyta; Magnoliopsida; Brassicales; Caricaceae.